GUGGGAGGGGGCUUGCCCCCGAUGGCGUUGUGUCAGUCACCGACUCUUAGUCUGGCAAGCUGCAAUCGGGGGCAAGCCCCCUCCCAC
RNAcentral lists this unclassified non-coding RNA (87 nucleotides) under Pseudomonas azotoformans. Lineage: Bacteria; Pseudomonadati; Pseudomonadota; Gammaproteobacteria; Pseudomonadales; Pseudomonadaceae. The record is from RNAcentral.